GAUGAACGCUGGCGGCGUGCCUAAUACAUGCAAGUCGAGCGAACAGACGAGGAGCUUGCUCCUCUGACGUUAGCGGCGGACGGGUGAGUAACACGUGGAUAACCUACCUAUAAGACUGGGAUAACUUCGGGAAACCGGAGCUAAUACCGGAUAAUAUAUUGAACCGCAUGGUUCAAUAGUGAAAGACGGUUUUGCUGUCACUUAUAGAUGGAUCCGCGCCGCAUUAGCUAGUUGGUAAGGUAACGGCUUACCAAGGCAACGAUGCGUAGCCGACCUGAGAGGGUGAUCGGCCACACUGGAACUGAGACACGGUCCAGACUCCUACGGGAGGCAGCAGCAGGGAAUCUUCCGCAAUGGGCGAAAGCCUGACGGAGCAACGCCGCGUGAGUGAUGGAGGUCUUCGGAUCGUAAAACUCUGUUAUUAGGGAAGAACAAAUGUGUAAGUAACUAUGCACGUCUUGACGGUACCUAAUCAGAAAGCCACGGCUAACUACGUG
This 497-nucleotide ribosomal RNA is filed under the name uncultured bacterium. Its description in RNAcentral is "partial 16S ribosomal RNA". It matches the Rfam family "Bacterial small subunit ribosomal RNA", at positions 28 to 507 of the family's 1533-position model. The record is from RNAcentral.